AGCCUUGCGCAGUGGCGGCAUCAUAGCCAAUGAGGUUUAUCUGAGGCAUGAUUAUUGCUAAUUCAAAGCUUUUCCCAACACCCUGUCGUGAUGACCUGUAGUAUAGUUGGCACUGGCAAUUUUUGACGGUCUCUACAAAAGACUGAAUGUUGAAAAAAGAGA
Otolemur garnettii (small-eared galago) is the source of this 162-nucleotide small nuclear RNA. Its record names the gene U4. It matches the Rfam family "U4 spliceosomal RNA". Rfam says of the family: U4 small nuclear RNA (U4 snRNA) is a component of the major U2-dependent spliceosome. The structure of U4 snRNA from yeast and human has been reported. NCBI's taxonomy places the organism in Eukaryota, Metazoa, Chordata, Mammalia, Primates, Galagidae. The record is from Ensembl.